RNAcentral lists this ribosomal RNA (497 nucleotides) under uncultured bacterium. Its description in RNAcentral is "partial 16S ribosomal RNA". It matches the Rfam family "Bacterial small subunit ribosomal RNA", at positions 28 to 507 of the family's 1533-position model. The record is from RNAcentral.
GAUGAACGCUGGCGGCGUGCCUAAUACAUGCAAGUCGAGCGAACGGACGAGAAGCUUGCUUCUCUGAUGUUAGCGGCGGACGGGUGAGUAACACGUGGAUAACCUACCUAUAAGACUGGGAUAACUUCGGGAAACCGGAGCUAAUACCGGAUGAUAUUUUGAACCGCAUGGUUCAAAAGUGAAAGACGGUCUUGCUGUCACUUAUAGAUGGAUCCGCGCUGCAUUAGCUAGUUGGUAAGGUAACGGCUUACCAAGGCAACGAUGCAUAGCCGACCUGAGAGGGUGAUCGGCCACACUGGAACUGAGACACGGUCCAGACUCCUACGGGAGGCAGCAGUAGGGAAUCUUCCGCAAUGGGCGAAAGCCUGACGGAGCAACGCCUCGUGAGUGAUGAAGGUCUUCGGAUCGUAAAACUCUGUUAUUAGGGAAGAACAUAUGUGUAAGUAACUGUGCACAUCUUGACGGUACCUAAUCAGAAAGCCACGGCUAACUACGUG